This 274-nucleotide ribosomal RNA is filed under the name uncultured bacterium. Its description in RNAcentral is "partial 16S ribosomal RNA". It matches the Rfam family "Bacterial small subunit ribosomal RNA", at positions 523 to 796 of the family's 1533-position model. The record is from RNAcentral.
AUACGGAGGGUGCGAGCGUUAAUCGGAAUUACUGGGCGUAAAGCGCGCGUAGGCGGUUUGGUCAGUCGGAUGUGAAAGCCCCAGGCUCAACCUGGGAAUGGCAUUCGAUACUGCCUGACUAGAGUAUGGUAGAGGGAAGUGGAAUUUCCGGUGUAGCGGUGAAAUGCGUAGAUAUCGGAAGGAACACCAGUGGCGAAGGCGACUUCCUGGGCCAAUACUGACGCUGAGGUGCGAAAGCGUGGGGAGCAAACAGGAUUAGAUACCCCAGUAGUCC